GAUUAACGCUGGCGGCGUGCAUAACACAUGCAAGUCGAACGAUGAAACUUAGUAGACUUCUUCUGAUAGACACUAAGCGGAUUAGUGGCGAACGGGUGAGUAACGCGUGAGUAACCUGCCUUACACAAGGGGAUAGCCUUACGCUACGAAGAAAAAUACCCUAUAAAACCAUACAAGCACAUGUUAGAACUGUCAAAGUGGUAGCAGCGUAAGUGGGACUUGCGGCUUGUCAGCGAGUUGGUGAGAUAAAAGGUCACCAAGGCAGCGAUCAGUAGCCGGCUUGAGAGAGUGGACGGCACCCUUGGGACUGGGACACGGCCCAGACUCCGGCGGAAGGGAGCAGGGGGGAAUUUUGCACAAUGGGGGAGACACUGAUGCAGCGGCGCCGCGUGAUUCAGAAGGCGUGCGAGUUGUAAAAAUCUUUUGUAUAGGAAGAAAAUGACAGUACUAAACGAAUAAGGUCCGGCUAAUUACGUG
RNAcentral lists this ribosomal RNA (477 nucleotides) under uncultured bacterium. Its description in RNAcentral is "partial 16S ribosomal RNA". It matches the Rfam family "Bacterial small subunit ribosomal RNA", at positions 28 to 507 of the family's 1533-position model. The record is from RNAcentral.